Gasterosteus aculeatus aculeatus (three-spined stickleback) is the source of this 366-nucleotide long non-coding RNA. NCBI's taxonomy places the organism in Eukaryota, Metazoa, Chordata, Actinopteri, Perciformes, Gasterosteidae. The record is from Ensembl.
CGAUAUCAACGAGCGGUUCGCUCCACUGGAGCGUUCGGGACUCUGCGGGUUUCUGUCCAUAGAGGAGAGGAACCGACUCAAAGAAGAGGAGACGGGCGCACAAUCCCACGAUAGCGGAAGAGGUGCGCCGUCUUCACAACUCCGAGACGAACUACAGGCGCUACGAACCGGAGCAAGGACUAAUCUCGCCUCAUAAUGAGGCGGUGACCUCGUAUUUGCUCCGGGAAAAGUCCAGAUUUAGACGACGUCAUUGUGUCCGCCUGUGAGACGUAUUUUGAGACGGGACGCAGGAGCUUCAGGUUCAGGCGGAACACUCAUUGCGAGCGGAAGCUGCGAAGGAUUCAGCGCGGAGUCGAGCGAGAAGAA